GCUUAAGUAGUUUAAUAAAAUGCCAACUUGUGGCGUUGGAGAUGCUUUGAUUAAGUCUUAAGUA
This 64-nucleotide transfer RNA is filed under the name Crassostrea tulipa. RNAcentral's name for it is "tRNA-His". The record is from RNAcentral. Lineage: Eukaryota; Metazoa; Mollusca; Bivalvia; Ostreida; Ostreidae.